RNAcentral lists this transfer RNA (63 nucleotides) under Scolytinae sp. BMNH 1274292. RNAcentral describes it as "tRNA-Arg". Lineage: Eukaryota; Metazoa; Arthropoda; Insecta; Coleoptera; Curculionidae. The record is from RNAcentral.
UAGCAAGAAGUAAUAUAUUACACUUAGUUUCGACCUAAAAAUAGGAGUAUUCUCCCUUGCUCA